GUUUAAAGGGAGCGUAGGCUGGAGAUUAAGUGUGUUGUGAAAUGUAGACGCUCAACGUCUGAAUUGCAGCGCAUACUGGUUUCCUUGAGUACGCACAACGUUGGCGGAAUUCGUGGUGUAGCGGUGAAAUGCUUAGAUAUGACGAAGAACUCCGAUUGCGAAGGCAGCUGACGGGAGCGCAACUGACGCUUAAGCUCGAAGGUGCGGGUAUCGAACAGGAUUAGAUACCCUGGUAGUCCGCACAGUAAACGAUGGAUGCCCGCUGUUGGUACCUGGUAUCAGCGGCUAAGCGAAAGCAUUAAGCAUCCCACCUGGGGAGUACGCCGGCAACGGUGAAACUCAAAGGAAUUGACGGGGGCCCGCACAAGCGGAGGAACAUGUGGUUUAAUUCGAUGAUACGCGAGGAACCUUACCCGGGCUUGAAUUGCAGAGGAAGGAUUUAGAGAUAAUGACGCCCUUCGGGGUCUCUGUGAAGGUGCUGCAUGGUUGUCGUCAGCUCGUGCCGUGAGGUGUCGGCUUAAGUGCCAUAACGAGCGCAACCCCUCUCUUCAGUUGCCAUCAGGUUAAGCUGGGCACUCUGGAGACACUGCCACCGUAAGGUGUGAGGAAGGUGGGGAUGACGUCAAAUCAGCACGGCCCUUACGUCCGGGGCUACACACGUGUUACAAUGGCCGGUACAGAGGGAUGGUGUAAUGCAAAUUGCAUCAAAUCUUGAAAGCCGGUCCCAGUUCGGACUGGGGUCUGCAACCCGACCCCACGAAGCUGGAUUCGCUAGUAAUCGCGCAUCAGCCAUGCCGCGGUGAAUACGUUCCCGGGCCUUGUACACACCGCCCGUCAAGCCAUGAAAGCCGGGGGUGCCUGAAGUCCGUGACCGCAAGGAUCGGCCUAGGGCAAAACUGGUGAUUGGGGCUAAGUCGUAACAAGGUAGCCGUACCGGAAGGUGCGGCUGGAACACCUCCUUUCU
This 964-nucleotide ribosomal RNA is filed under the name Rothia mucilaginosa. RNAcentral describes it as "bacterial SSU rRNA". It matches the Rfam family "Bacterial small subunit ribosomal RNA", at positions 558 to 1533 of the family's 1533-position model. The record is from RNAcentral. Lineage: Bacteria; Bacillati; Actinomycetota; Actinomycetes; Micrococcales; Micrococcaceae.